CAAUGAAAUGACCUUGAAUGAACUUCAGUGAGAUUAGCUCAGAGAAGGGAUUAAACACAUUUAUGUGAGUACAGUGCUGAGAGGAACCAAGAGAGAACAAAGUGGCACGGUGUCCUGGGAUCCAAUGGCCUCCUGGUGCAGGAAGUGUGGGCAGCAAGACCCCAGAUACUUGCCUUACACCUCUGUGCGGAUCACAGAGGCAGAGAUGAGGGCUUACCACCAUUUCCUGGGAAGUUGCAUCAGGCUAGAAUAUAUGGCAAAACAAGCACUUCCGCUGCUCCAAUCCUCCCAGCGCUCUGAAGCAGCGUCUGUCCCUGAUACGAGCAGUGGCACAACCCACAAACCGUCAUAGCAUUGGAUGCAGACGUCCUUUCUUUUGAGGAUAUAGAUCAAGAGAUGUGGAGAAGUAUUUCCCUGGGUCUCCAGUGGUGUUAAAAGAGUAGAUGUGUGGGGCUGCCCUGCCAGCCCCGAGCACUGGAUCACGAGUGACAGAGCCACCCAUGUGGUCUUUAACACAUGUAUUUAUGAGAGGGAGGGCUGUGAAACGUGGAGCUCCCAACAGUGUGGGGUCUGGGGCAGGGGUCACAAGGAAGCUUUUGGGGUGAUGGAAAUGUUCCAUAUCUUGAUCUGUUUGAUGGUUAUGUGAGUGUAUAUAUUUAUCAGAAUACAUGAAACUGUACACUGAGGAUCUGUGCGUUGUGCUGCAUGUAAAUUGUACUUCAAUAAAGUCCUAUUAGCAUAAAAAAUAAAGGCUACCAGAGCAUAUUUUUCUGUAUGUAAGCUAAGUGGGUAAGAACAAUAUGAUUCCGUUACUCUAACACAACUAUUUCAAAUAUUCUUUUCUCAUAUGCUCACACACAUGUGCACAAAUACACCACGUACUUUCUUCUUCUUUUUUUAAACUUGUCUGCAGUCUCACCUCACAUAUAGUUUUUAUGUCCUUGAUAUUAUAUUUUGAAUCUUUUUCUGUGGAGAUGGUUUUCACAAUUAUAUAAUGAAUGCUUUCAUCUCUUAACUCUUAUAAAUAGUAUUUCCAGUCUACCUUUUUUAUGUAUAACAUUUUAAUUUUACUAUUUUCUUGGCCUAAAUUUCCAGAUAUUAGAUGAAUGAAUAAAAGAUUAUGAAGAUUUUAAUGACUGUGUAUUGAAACUCUGUAUUGCAAUGGUUAAGAUGUUGGGCUUUGGAGUUCAGAAUGAGAUGGGUUCAAAUUCUGGCUCUGCUUGACCUUGGAUGAGCUUGGAUGACCUUGAUUGACCUUGGAUGAGCAAAUCUAGUUCAAUAUCACCCUUAGCAUUGUUUUGAGGAUUAAAUGAGAUGCUGCAUAUAAAGGGUUUGGUAUGUAACUACACAAUAAUCACUGGAUAAAAUAUUGUGAAACCACUUUCUAAAAGGGAUCUACCAGCUUCACACCCCAAGGUCAUGUACAUGUAUUAGUUUUCCAAGAAAACCCCAGGAUUGGGUGUUAGAGUCUCAGUUAUUUUAUGGAUGAAUGAGGUAUUCUAUUAUUGUUUUAAUUGCAUUAUUUGACUAGUGGGAAAUUGGACAUUUUUCAGUGUUCUUGCUAUUAAAAUUCUAGAUUUCUCCUU
This is a long non-coding RNA of Herpailurus yagouaroundi (jaguarundi), 1586 nucleotides long. RefSeq lists it as uncharacterized. The record is from RefSeq and is a predicted model, not a curated record. NCBI's taxonomy places the organism in Eukaryota, Metazoa, Chordata, Mammalia, Carnivora, Felidae. The transcript is spliced from 2 exons.